Molecule: ribosomal RNA, 369 nt
Filed under: uncultured bacterium
Lineage: Bacteria
Description: bacterial SSU rRNA
Rfam family: Bacterial small subunit ribosomal RNA
Source: RNAcentral
GGUAUGUAAAGCUCUAUCAGCAGGGAAGAUAAUGACGGUACCUGACUAAGAAGCACCGGCUAAAUACGUGCCAGCAGCCGCGGUAAUACGUAUGGUGCAAGCGUUAUCCGGAUUUACUGGGUGUAAAGGGAGCGCAGGCGGUGCGGCAAGUCUGAUGUGAAAGCCCGGGGCUCAACCCCGGUACUGCAUUGGAAACUGUCGUACUAGAGUAUCGGAGGGGUAAGCGGAAUUCCUAGUGUAGCGGUGAAAUGCGUAGAUAUUAGGAGGAACACCAGUGGCGAAGGCGGCUUACUGGACGAUAACUGACGCUGAGGCUCGAAAGCGUGGGGAGCAAACAGGAUUAGAUACCCUGGUAGUCCACGCCGUAAA